Molecule: long non-coding RNA, 203 nt
Organism: Liolophura sinensis
Lineage: Eukaryota; Metazoa; Mollusca; Polyplacophora; Chitonida; Chitonidae
Exons: 3
Source: RefSeq, a predicted model, not a curated record
AGACGUCUCGUGCAGGAAUCUGUCACUCAGAUGUACAUUUCUGGGAGGACCUGUGGAGAUUAAGGGACAUUCCGGAUUUGCGAUUAUCCGGAAUCACCAUGGGUCACGAGAUUGUUGGUGCAGUGUAUUCAAAGGGAGCUCAAGUUGAAGAUUUGAACAUUGGCGACAGGGUGGUUGUCUACCCUUGGACAGGCUGCAUGGAG